CGUGUAGGCGGUUGGCCAAGUCCGAUGUGAAAGCCCGAGGCUCAGCCUCGGAAGUGCAUCGGAAACUAGCCGGCUGGAGCGCGAUAGAGGAGGGUGGAAUUCCUGGUGUAGCGGUGAAAUGCGUAGAUAUCAGGAGGAACACCGGCGGCGAAGGCGGCCCUCUGGAUCGUUGCUGACGCUGAGACGCGAAAGCGUGGGGAGCAAACAGGAUUAGAUACCCUGGUAGUCCACGCUGUAAACGAUGGGUACUAGGUGUUCGGGGUAUUGACCCCCUGAGUGCCGCAGUUAACGCAUUAAGUACCCCGCCUGGGGACUACGGCCGCAAGGUUAAA
RNAcentral lists this ribosomal RNA (332 nucleotides) under uncultured bacterium. RNAcentral's name for it is "bacterial SSU rRNA". It matches the Rfam family "Bacterial small subunit ribosomal RNA", at positions 568 to 898 of the family's 1533-position model. The record is from RNAcentral.